UACGUAGGGUGCAAGCGUUGUCCGGAAUUAUUGGGCGUAAAGAGCUCGUAGGCGGUCUGUCGCGUCUGCUGUGAAAACUCGGGGCUUAACCCCGGGCCUGCAGUGGGUACGGGCAGACUAGAGUUCGGCAGGGGAGACUGGAAUUCCUGGUGUAGCGGUGAAAUGCGUAGAUAUCUGGAGGAACACCGGUGGCGAAGGCGGCAUCCUGGACCAAUAUUGACGCUGAGGAGCGAAAAGCUAGGGGAGCAAACGGG
This 254-nucleotide ribosomal RNA is filed under the name uncultured bacterium. RNAcentral's name for it is "partial 16S ribosomal RNA". It matches the Rfam family "Bacterial small subunit ribosomal RNA", at positions 524 to 776 of the family's 1533-position model. The record is from RNAcentral.